This 312-nucleotide long non-coding RNA is filed under the name Nicotiana benthamiana. RNAcentral describes it as "long non-coding RNA (NBEN_LNC031215)". Lineage: Eukaryota; Viridiplantae; Streptophyta; Magnoliopsida; Solanales; Solanaceae. The record is from RNAcentral.
CAACCUUGAUAAACGAAAAGAUCUUUGAUUUUGCAAUUGAGGGUUGCCAUGUUGUCAAGAUCGACAACCCUUCCAUGGGCAAUAGGUUUGUCUUUUAAGGCAAGGAAGAGAUCCUUAUUUGGGGAAUCUUAGAAAUUAAAGUCAAUUUAAGAGAGGCAGAGAAAUUAACCUUUGAUUUCUUUGGGUUGGACGAAAUAGAGUGUUCAUAGAAGUCACCCUGAGAAGAGGCGAAUCCCUCAGAAUGAUCGGACCCUAAGUCUACCUGUUCCAGAGGCAAUGUUGGGGGUUUUGCUUUGGAACAUGUGCUUUUUC